GGGAUAUUUAUAAAGAAAAUUAUUAGUGAUAAAGUUCAGAAGGCUCUUUUGAUUAUCCUUUUUGGCUUGCUCAGAGUUGGUUUUCUUUGCUAAGACCAAUUUUAAUUUAUUUGCCAGUUAAACUGUUAAGCAUAAAAAUUAGUAACAAUGUUACAUACUGAAGAUAAUGUCUUUCCGUCAGGAAGAGACUUAAUUUAACUGUAUAUUGUAAAAAAUUAAAGUGAACCAACACCUGAAGGGUUGAUUGUGCAGUAGGGUAAAAACGUGUGUAUUAUACUCAGAAAUCACUUUAAUAUAAACAGGAGAUUUCAGAAUCAUUUGUAAAAUAUAUUUACACUUCAUCUUGGAGACCAUGCAUCUAUAAUCAAGCAUUAUCAAUAUUUUUUUGAGAAAUUUCAUUAUUUGGUGUGUUCAAUUAGAGAACCAAUUCCUUAUCACCAUCUAAAAAGGAUGUUAUUGAUUAUUGA
Molecule: long non-coding RNA, 467 nt
Filed under: Mytilus galloprovincialis (Mediterranean mussel)
Lineage: Eukaryota; Metazoa; Mollusca; Bivalvia; Mytilida; Mytilidae
Source: RNAcentral